Molecule: small nucleolar RNA, 81 nt
Filed under: Callithrix jacchus (white-tufted-ear marmoset)
Lineage: Eukaryota; Metazoa; Chordata; Mammalia; Primates; Cebidae
Description: Small nucleolar RNA U3 (ENSCJAG00000051665.2)
Rfam family: Small nucleolar RNA U3
About the family: Small nucleolar RNAs (snoRNAs) are involved in the processing and modification of rRNA in the nucleolus. There are two main classes of snoRNAs: the box C/D class, and the box H/ACA class.
Source: Rfam by way of RNAcentral
AAGACUAUACUUUCAGGGAUCAUUUCUAUAGUUUCUUACAAAAUAAUAAAUUUCUUAUAUUUCUUUCCAAUAACUAUGAGU